This 585-nucleotide ribosomal RNA is filed under the name Papiliotrema laurentii. Its description in RNAcentral is "eukaryotic LSU rRNA". It matches the Rfam family "Eukaryotic large subunit ribosomal RNA", at positions 62 to 636 of the family's 3401-position model. The record is from RNAcentral. Lineage: Eukaryota; Fungi; Basidiomycota; Tremellomycetes; Tremellales; Rhynchogastremaceae.
AAACUAACAAGGAUUCCCCUAGUAACGGCGAGUGAACCGGGAAGAGCUCAAAUUUGAAAUCUGGCGUCCUCAGGGCGUCCGAGUUGUAAUCUAUAGAGGCGUUUUCCGUGCCGGACCGUGUCCAAGUUCCUUGGAACAGGAUAUCAAAGAGGGUGACAAUCCCGUACUUGACACGACGACCGGUGCUCUGUGAUACGUCUUCUACGAGUCGAGUUGUUUGGGAAUGCAGCUCAAAAUGGGUGGUGAGUUCCAUUUAAAGGUAAAUAUUGGCGAGAGACCGAUAGCGAACAAGUACCGUGAGGGAAAGAUGAAAAGCACUUUGGAAAGAGAGUUAAACAGUACGUGAAAUUGUUGAAAGGGAAACGAUUGAAGUCAGUCGUGACCGAGAGGCUCAGCCGGUUCUGCCGGUGUAUUCCCCUCGGUCGGGUCAACAUCAGUUUUGUCCGGUGGAUAAGGACGGUAGGAAGGUGGCACCCUCGGGUGUGUUAUAGCCUGCCGUCGCAUACAUCGGGUGAGACUGAGGAACGCAGCUCGCCUUUAUGGCCGGGGUUCGCCCACGUCCGAGCUUAGGAUGUUGACAUAAUG